RNAcentral lists this ribosomal RNA (253 nucleotides) under uncultured bacterium. Its description in RNAcentral is "partial 16S ribosomal RNA". It matches the Rfam family "Bacterial small subunit ribosomal RNA", at positions 524 to 776 of the family's 1533-position model. The record is from RNAcentral.
UACAGAGGGUGCAAGCGUUGUUCGGAAUCAUUGGGCGUAAAGGGCAAGUAGGUGGUUAUUUAAGUUUGCUGUGAAAUCCCCGAGCUUAACUUGGGAAGUGCGGUGGAUACUGAAUAACUAGAGUACCGGAGGGGUUCGUGGAAUUGUCGGUGUAGCGGUGAAAUGCGUAGAUAUCGACAGGAAUACCAGAGGCGAAAGCGACGAACUGGAAGGUAACUGACACUCAAUUGCGAAAGCGUGGGGAGCAAACAGG